UGGGGGAUAUUGCACAAUGGGCGAAAGCCUGAUGCAGCGACGCCGCGUGGGGGAUGAAGGCUUUCGGGUUGUAAACCUCUUUCGCUAUCGAACAAGGCCCGCUUAGGGUGGGUUGAGGGUAGGUGGAGAAGAAGCGCCGGCUAACUACGUGCCAGCAGCCGCGGUAAUACGUAGGUCGCGAGCGUUGUCCGGCAUUAUUGGGCGUAAAGGGCUUGUAGGCGGCUUGUUGCGCCUGCUGUGAAAACGCGGGGCUUAACUUCGCGCGUGCAGUGGGUACGGGAAGGCUAGAGUGUGGUAGGGGUGACUGGAAUUCCAGGUGUAGCGGUGGAAUGCGCAGAUAUCUGGAGGAACACCGAUGGCGAAGGCAGGUCACUGGGCCAUUACUGACGCUGAGGAGCGAAAGCAUGGGUAGCGAACAGG
This 420-nucleotide ribosomal RNA is filed under the name bacterium. Its description in RNAcentral is "partial 16S ribosomal RNA". It matches the Rfam family "Bacterial small subunit ribosomal RNA", at positions 355 to 776 of the family's 1533-position model. The record is from RNAcentral.